Molecule: ribosomal RNA, 679 nt
Filed under: Pseudomonas sp. Y4_255_2
Lineage: Bacteria; Pseudomonadati; Pseudomonadota; Gammaproteobacteria; Pseudomonadales; Pseudomonadaceae
Description: bacterial SSU rRNA
Rfam family: Bacterial small subunit ribosomal RNA
Source: RNAcentral
AGUCGAGCGGUAGAGAGAAGCUUGCUUCUCUUGAGAGCGGCGGACGGGUGAGUAAUGCCUAGGAAUCUGCCUGGUAGUGGGGGAUAACGUUCGGAAACGGACGCUAAUACCGCAUACGUCCUACGGGAGAAAGCAGGGGACCUUCGGGCCUUGCGCUAUCAGAUGAGCCUAGGUCGGAUUAGCUAGUUGGUGGGGUAAUGGCUCACCAAGGCGACGAUCCGUAACUGGUCUGAGAGGAUGAUCAGUCACACUGGAACUGAGACACGGUCCAGACUCCUACGGGAGGCAGCAGUGGGGAAUAUUGGACAAUGGGCGAAAGCCUGAUCCAGCCAUGCCGCGUGUGUGAAGAAGGUCUUCGGAUUGUAAAGCACUUUAAGUUGGGAGGAAGGGUUGUAGAUUAAUACUCUGCAAUUUUGACGUUACCGACAGAAUAAGCACCGGCUAACUCUGUGCCAGCAGCCGCGGUAAUACAGAGGGUGCAAGCGUUAAUCGGAAUUACUGGGCGUAAAGCGCGCGUAGGUGGUUUGUUAAGUUGGAUGUGAAAUCCCCGGGCUCAACCUGGGAACUGCAUUCAAAACUGACUGACUAGAGUAUGGUAGAGGGUGGUGGAAUUUCCUGUGUAGCGGUGAAAUGCGUAGAUAUAGGAAGGAACACCAGUGGCGAAGGCGACCACCUGGAC